GGGGAUGCUGGGCUUCGACAAGCGAUUUUAUUCUAUUUUGUGCAGAAUGAGCUCUUAGCUGCUCAUAAAACCGUUAAGAAAAUUUUAAGUGCAAAUACACUUUCAAGCAAAGUAAAAUCAUUGUUCGCAAUGCCAAGCUUUGCGCCUGUUGCAGUUUAAUUUUUAACUCAACCAUCGGUCCUCAGAUACUCACUAUGAGAUCACUGGUGUAAACUUAGCGAGUGUAGAUUGUAGAAGUUCUCUGGUCUACAAUUGAAAUCAUAAUUAGAGAUCGAGAUUUAACUUUUUUGUCUUGCCUUUAGGUUAAAUUUCUAAAAAUCAGGCUCGACUAAUUCUGUAGAAUCAACAUAGUUGAUUGUUUGGACGCGGGUUCAACUCCCGCCAUCUCCACUU
RNAcentral lists this transfer-messenger RNA (393 nucleotides) under Patescibacteria group. RNAcentral's name for it is "JABHMO01 sp018693855 Standard tmRNA". It matches the Rfam family "transfer-messenger RNA". Rfam says of the family: Bacterial tmRNA, also known as 10Sa RNA or SsrA, is named for its dual tRNA and mRNA-like properties. RNAcentral also lists the same sequence under 1 other name. The record is from RNAcentral.